CCCAGGCCUAAUUCCAUUUCUUGGGAUCGUCCAUUCUCUGACUCACGACAGGGUAUAGGAGGCCUAACCAAUUAUGAGCACAAAGGAGAGAUUAAGUGAACCAGUAAGUGUUUAGUCCAAGUGGGCCUGGAUUCAGUUUGCCAAUCCUACCACAUGGGGACGAUAGGAAGCAAGAGGGGUAGUUACAAUAUGCCUUUCUAAUACGCAAUGACUGCCAACGGUAGCCCAGACAGUAUUCCAGAAGUUGACAAAACAUAGACGCUCCUCCUUGGGAUUGAAAUGUAUGGGGGUGGGGGGAAGAGCGAGAAGGGAGAGUGAAAGAAGAGGAUAGAGAUUUUCUUUCUACUUCAAAAUACAUCUUUCCAGUCACUUUGGUCCCCUGGUUUGUGAUGCAGAGUCCUUCAUUCAGUUUCCAGUGCAACCCUUUCUGAUGAAUUCACCCCAGAGUCACUUUUACUAUCAUGGGAUCCAUCAUAUUAAAACGGCACUUAGGAGCUGGGUGAGGCAGUGAGGAGGACAAUGGAAAGACUGAGCAGCAAGAAGAGAGGAGGGAAUAGAGAUGGAGAGGGUCCAACAAUGUGCUAGCAAAAAGAAGCAGAGGACAGCUACUGGAGC
RNAcentral lists this long non-coding RNA (615 nucleotides) under Homo sapiens (human). RNAcentral's name for it is "HSALNT0377752". Lineage: Eukaryota; Metazoa; Chordata; Mammalia; Primates; Hominidae. The record is from RNAcentral.